ACGCUCGACACCUACGGGGCAGGCAGUGAGGAAUAUUGGUCAAUGGACGCAAGUCUGAACCAGCCAUGCCGCGUGCAGGAUGACGGCUCUAUGAGUUGUAAACUGCUUUUGUACGAGGGUAAACGCAGAUACGUGUAUCUGUCUGAAAGUAUCGUACGAAUAAGGAUCGGCUAACUCCGCGCCAGCAGCCGCGGUAAUCUGAGCGGGCUGGCAAGGC
RNAcentral lists this ribosomal RNA (217 nucleotides) under uncultured bacterium. Its description in RNAcentral is "partial 16S ribosomal RNA". It matches the Rfam family "Bacterial small subunit ribosomal RNA", at positions 326 to 539 of the family's 1533-position model. The record is from RNAcentral.